CCAAUCCCCGGGAGGGGCCCGCCCACUCUCGUGUCCCAUUGGGAAAAUUCAAUUUGACGGCCUCGCCCCUCGCGGACCUGAGUUGUAGGGGAUUGUAGUCCGGGGACUACUGCUUCAGUGUCCUUGGCUGUUCGGGUGGGCAUCGGCAGGAGGACGUAGAUUUGCACCAAAGUCCAGGAGGGCGCCCAAAGCCCGGCCCCUCAGGGUCAGCCUCUUGGAGCGCUGGAGUCCUAAAAUGGGAAUACGGAGUCCAGACUUUCAUUCAACAAAUGGAGGAAAUUGAGGCCCAGAGAGAGCCACCAUGACCAAGGCAACACAAGGAAUUAGCCAAAUAGCUCAGACCUACUGAGGAAAGACACUCCAUCUUUCCUGCUUGAGGCCGGGAGCCUCCUACACACAGGUCUCCAUGGAGACCAAAGGGAGUUGGAGCCUGGGAGGUGGGUUCUGGAGUCCUGUCUGUUAAAUAAAAAUAAUAUCAACUCA
This is a long non-coding RNA of Pteropus alecto (black flying fox), 483 nucleotides long. RefSeq lists it as uncharacterized. NCBI's taxonomy places the organism in Eukaryota, Metazoa, Chordata, Mammalia, Chiroptera, Pteropodidae. The record is from RefSeq and is a predicted model, not a curated record. The transcript is spliced from 2 exons.